Molecule: long non-coding RNA, 474 nt
Filed under: Oryza brachyantha (malo sina)
Lineage: Eukaryota; Viridiplantae; Streptophyta; Magnoliopsida; Poales; Poaceae
Description: long non-coding RNA (OBRA_LNC003352)
Source: RNAcentral
GAACGUGCUCAAAAAAAUUCCUUGAUGCUACGUUACUAGUACAAAGCAACAACAGCUUUACAUAUAUAGAGAUUACCCCCUUCAAAAACAUAUACAGAGAUUACACAUUAAUAGCAAAAUUACACCCAUACGGCUGGAUUUUGAAUUUUUGAUCAAUCUAAUUAAGUUAUACUUGCCAGCUUUCUCUAACAUAUAAAAAAGGAAAACAAAAAUACGCAUGAAGAAACAAAAAAGAAAUCAAAGGCCUGGUAAAUUAGUUAAUUAAUCAACGGUGCUAUAUAUACCAUUUAUUUGGGUUAUUUCUCUUGUUAUUUGUUUUUGUUUUAUAAAUUUAAUACUUUUUUUGUGUCUUCCUCUCCUAAUAUACUUGACAAGGACGGCGAGCGGCGGCGGCGGCGCGGCUAGGCCCAGAAGCCGGCGAGGAACGCGGCGAUGCGCCGCGCCGAGCGCGCGAUGAAGGCGGCGCAGAGCUCN